This 417-nucleotide ribosomal RNA is filed under the name uncultured bacterium. Its description in RNAcentral is "bacterial SSU rRNA". It matches the Rfam family "Bacterial small subunit ribosomal RNA", at positions 28 to 439 of the family's 1533-position model. The record is from RNAcentral.
AGCGAACGCUGGCGGCGUGCUUAACACAUGCAAGUCGAGUGCGCAGUCUCUUGUAGCAAUACAGGGGAUGGGCGCACGGCGCACGGGUGCGUAACACGUGGGUAACCUGCCCUGGUGGGAUAGCCCGCGAAGCGGGGCGUAAUUCCGCAUAACAUUCCGGGGACACAUGUCCUCGGACUCAAAGGAGUGAUUCGCCGGAGGAGGGGCCCGCGCCCGAUUAGCUUGNGGUUAGGGUAACGGCCUACCAAGGCUUUGAUCGGUAGCCGGUCUGAGAGGAUGGCCGGCCACACUGAAACUGAGACACGGUCCAGACUCCUACGGGAGGCAGCAGUGGGGAAUCUUGCGCAAUGGGCGAAAGCCUGACGCAGCGACGCCGCGUGGGGGAGUGAAGCUUCUCGGAGUGUAAACCCCUUUCGA